GACGAACGCUGGCGGCGUGCUUAACACAUGCAAGUCGAACGGAAAGGCCCUGCUUUUGUGGGGUGCUCGAGUGGCGAACGGGUGAGUAACACGUGAGUAACCUGCCCUUGACUUUGGGAUAACUUCAGGAAACUGGGGCUAAUACCGGAUAGGAGCUCCUGCUGCAUGGUGGGGGUUGGAAAGUUUCGGCGGUUGGGGAUGGACUCGCGGCUUAUCAGCUUGUUGGUGGGGUAGUGGCUUACCAAGGCUUUGACGGGUAGCCGGCCUGAGAGGGUGACCGGCCACAUUGGGACUGCGAUACGGCCCAGACUCCUACGGGAGGCAGCAGUGGGGAAUAUUGCACAAUGGGCGGAAGCCUGAUGCAGCAACGCCGCGUGCGGGAUGACGGCCUUCGGGUUGUAAACCGCUUUCGCCUGUGGCGAAGCGUGAGUGACGGUAAUGGGUAAAGAAGCACCGGCUAACUACGUG
This 468-nucleotide ribosomal RNA is filed under the name uncultured bacterium. RNAcentral's name for it is "partial 16S ribosomal RNA". It matches the Rfam family "Bacterial small subunit ribosomal RNA", at positions 28 to 507 of the family's 1533-position model. The record is from RNAcentral.